Molecule: long non-coding RNA, 438 nt
Organism: Paramisgurnus dabryanus
Lineage: Eukaryota; Metazoa; Chordata; Actinopteri; Cypriniformes; Cobitidae
Source: RefSeq, a predicted model, not a curated record
UUAAGGAGAAUGCAACAUGUUCCAGGGCCUCUUACCUGCGUGAUUCAUCAUCCAGGUUUUGCACAAAUUGUCUAAAUCCCUACACACAGAACAUUUAUUGUACCGACUAUAAGCCUUUGAGGUGCAGGACUAGAAUACGCUUGGAGCUUCCUGAUCAGAUCGGUCACAAUUUUGGCUUUCGACGACCCCUGCACUGAAGAUGGCAUGCAAUCACGUCCUCCUUUGAAGGUCUCUCAAACUGUGAUGCCAGGUCCAUUGGAAUCGGGGUUUCCUUCAGCUUAUCUUCAAAUACCUCAUCAAACACAAGCCUGAUCACAUCAUCCACAUAACUGUAGAAAUAUUGCAGUCAAUAAAUCUUUUGUUUUGAUCAUUUAUUUCCCUGCUUCAUACAUUAAGUUUUUAAUUAUGAAUGUAUUUGAAAUAAAACAUUACUGCUUA